GACGAACCGUACAAACGUUAUUCGGAAUUACUGGGCUUAAAGGGUGCGUAGGCUGUGCGGAAAGUUGGGUGUGAAAUCCUCCAGCUCAACUGGGGAACUGCGCUCAAAACUACCGUGCUUGAGGAAGACAGAGGUGAGCGGAACUUAGGGUGGAGCGGUGAAAUGCGUUGAUAUCCUAAGGAACACCGGUGGCGAAAGCGGCUCACUGGGUCUUUUCUGACGCUGAGGCACGAAAGCUAGGGGAGCAAACGGG
RNAcentral lists this ribosomal RNA (253 nucleotides) under uncultured bacterium. RNAcentral's name for it is "partial 16S ribosomal RNA". It matches the Rfam family "Bacterial small subunit ribosomal RNA", at positions 524 to 776 of the family's 1533-position model. The record is from RNAcentral.